GGGGAAUAUUGCACAAUGGGGGAAACCCUGAUGCAGCCAUGCCGCGUGUGUGAAGAAGGCCUUCGGGUUGUAAAGCACUUUCAGCGAGGAGGAAAGGUUGGUAGCGAAUAACUGCCAGCUGUGACGUUACUCGCAGAAGAAGCACCGGCUAACUCCGUGCCAGCAGCCGCGGUAAUACGGAGGGUGCAAGCGUUAAUCGGAAUUACUGGGCGUAAAGCGCACGCAGGCGGUUGGAUAAGUUAGAUGUGAAAGCCCCGGGCUCAACCUGGGAAUUGCAUUUAAAACUGUCCAGCUAGAGUCUUGUAGAGGGGGGUAGAAUUCCAGGUGUAGCGGUGAAAUGCGUAGAGAUCUGGAGGAAUACCGGUGGCGAAGGCGGCCCCCUGGACAAAGACUGACGCUCAGGUGCGAAAGCGUGGGGAGCAAAC
Molecule: ribosomal RNA, 425 nt
Filed under: uncultured bacterium
Lineage: Bacteria
Description: bacterial SSU rRNA
Rfam family: Bacterial small subunit ribosomal RNA
Source: RNAcentral